GACGAACGCUGGCGGCGUGCCUAAUACAUGCAAGUAGGACGCACAGUCUAUACCGUAGCUUGCUACACCAUAGGCUGUGAGUUGCGAACGGGUGAGUAACGCGUAGGUAACCUGUCUAUUAGAGGGGGAUAACUAUUGGAAACGAUAGCUAAUACCGCAUAACAGUAUGUAACACAUGUUAGAUGCUUGAAAGAUGCAAUUGCAUCGCUAGUAGAUGGACCUGCGUUGUAUUAGCUAGUAGGUAGGGUAAUGGCCUACCUAGGCGACGAUACAUAGCCGACCGGAGAGGGUGGUCGGCCACACUGGGACUGAGACACGGCCCAGACUCCUUCGGGAGGCAGCAGUAGGGAAUCUUCGGCAAUGGGGGGAACCCUGACCGAGCAACGCCGCGUGAGUGAAGAAGGUUUUCGGGUCGUAAAGCUCUGUUGUUAAGGAAGAACGAGUGUGAGAAUGGAAAGUUCAUACUGUGACGGUACUUAACCAGAAAGGGACGGCUAACUACGUG
This 505-nucleotide ribosomal RNA is filed under the name uncultured bacterium. Its description in RNAcentral is "partial 16S ribosomal RNA". It matches the Rfam family "Bacterial small subunit ribosomal RNA", at positions 28 to 507 of the family's 1533-position model. The record is from RNAcentral.